AUUGAACGCUGGCGGCAGGCCUAACACAUGCAAGUCGAACGGUAGCACAGAGAGCUUGCUCUCGGGUGACGAGUGGCGGACGGGUGAGUAACGUCUGGGAAACUGCCCGAUGGAGGGGGAUAACUACUGGAAACGGUAGCUAAUACCGCAUAACUUCGCAAGACCAAAGUGGGGGACCUUCGGGCCUCACACCAGCGGAUUUGCCCAGAUGGGAUUAGCUAGUAGGUGGGGUAAUGGCUCACCUAGGCGACGAUCCCUAGCUGGUCUGAGGGGAUGACCAGCCACACUGGAACUGAGACACGGUCCAGACUCCUACGGGAGGCAGCAGUGGGGAAUAUUGCACAAUGGGCGCAAGCCUGAUGCAGCCAUGCCGCGUGUAUGAAGAAGGCCUUCGGGUUGUAAAAUACUUUCAGCGGGGAGGAAGGCGGUGAAGUUAAUAGCUUCACCGAUUGACGUUACCCGCAGAAGAAGCACCGGCUAACUCCGUGCCAGCCGCCGCGGUAA
RNAcentral lists this ribosomal RNA (504 nucleotides) under uncultured bacterium. RNAcentral's name for it is "partial 16S ribosomal RNA". It matches the Rfam family "Bacterial small subunit ribosomal RNA", at positions 30 to 523 of the family's 1533-position model. The record is from RNAcentral.